GUUCAUUAGCAAUAAACUCAAAGCAAAAGUUCGAUUAUCACGGGAUUUUUUCAAAACCCUAAUCCCGGUUAUCUUCUUCAUUCUCUCAAGUUCACCAUCUUUCUACCUCCUGUCCGGCGCCCAGUACCAGCAUCGGUCUUCCUCCGGCGGUCUGUACCAGCUUCCUUCUUCCUCCGGCAGCCAGUAGCAUCAGGUUUCAUCAUCGUGAAAUCAUGACCUUUCGAAGUAAAGCUACAAAGAUGAAUGCUUAAAUUAUGCUCAAAUCAAACAAGAGGCUUGUGCAAACCAAGCUCAUGUUACUAAUUUUGGACCUUUUCAACCCAAAAAGUCCAUUGAUACUCCAGCACAAGAUCCUAUACUAGCUUGGUACCUAUUGUUAUCAAGAAACAUGAUCCCAAAGCUUUACCUCUUAAUAAAAGCUUUAUGACUCGAACUUUGAAGACUUUAAUACUCCAGCACUUGAUCCAUCUACUAGCUUUAAACUUACAGUUACCAAGAUACAUGAUCCCAAAGCUUUACCUCUUGAUAAAAGCUUUAUGUCUCGAACCUUUGAAGACUUCAUUAAUACUUCAGCACUUGAUCAAUCUACUAGCUUUAAACCUACAAUUACGAAGAAACAUGAUCCCAAAGCUUUACCUCUUGAUAAAAGCUUAUGCCUCAAACCUUGAAGACUUUUAAGUUGUAAACCUACAAUAACCAAGAAUUAUGAUACGCCUUCUAGGUAUAAAUCUACAGUAGAGGAUGUUGUUGAAGAGUCAUGUAAGGGGAAAGAAGAUCUCAAAGAGCAAGAUAAGCAUGCAAAGGAAAUGGAGACAAAGGUUCCGAGGAGAACAAAACAAGUGUGGAAGCUAGGGGUAAUGUUUGUUGGAAAAAGAAUAUAGAAGUGGAUCCAGAUGAGAUUGUCUAAGUAGAAGAGAUAAUAGAGAAUGAGCCUCCAAAAUUAAGAAUAAUGGAGGGGGCUAUAAUUGCUAAGCAUGUUUGGUGCUUACCAUCAGGAAGAAGGAUCAUUGUUUAUUUUAAUGAAUAUGAUCAACCAAUUAGAAGGGGGGACUUGUAGUUGUUCAUUUUCUGUCUGAAUUGUCAAAAGAUGUAAUCUUUGUCUACUUGGAGCACAAAAUUGGAAGCGUGUUGAUGAUCAUUACAAGCAAAGGAUCAUUAAAACGGUUUGGGUUUGCAUUAAACAUUCUUUAAUAUUAUAAUUUAAUAUGGAUAUUCUCACUAAAUGCUUAUUUGUCAAAGGAGAUUCUCACCAUAUAUAUAGGAUAAAUUUGUGUUACCUGAUACAAAAGAGAUGAGAUUCGUUGAAUGGUAUUAUCACAUAUAAAUAUGAAGUGGAAGCAUACAAGUGGAGCUUCAAAGAGACUAUUAUCAGCCUAAUGAGACAAAGGAGAAGAUUAUUGAGGAUAUGCCUAAAAAUGUGAAAGAGCAGUGAAUUAGCUUGGUUUCUUACGGGGUCUCAGAAAGUUUAAGAAAUUAUCAACAUUGGGAAAAAGAGCUCGAGAAAUGCAUAAUCAUGUACAUACUACAAGGUCAAAAAGUUAUGCUCAAUGGAAAACUGAAUUUGUUAAGUUGAAUCAAAGAGAACCUAGUGGGUGAGAAAUGUGGAAACGUACACACACUACAAAGAGUGGUGGUUAUGUAGAGGGUACAUACACUCAAGAAUUUAUGGUAUACUAGAGUAUUGAAUUGGAAACAUUUAUAAUUAUAAUAUCUGUAAUUGUAUAUUUCAUUUAUACUUUUGUAUUGUUAUUGGACAUUGCUGAAAGUAGGGUCGAUGAACAUUUACGUGAUUCGAAACAACCUCAUGAGGUGAUUAAGACGGAAGCUUUAGUGAGAUGAUGUAUCAAGAAGACAAACCUAAUCAACGUGUUGUUUAUAAUCAUGGGGUUACUAGAACUCAUGUGUUUGGUAUUAAAGCUCAAUUAUGAAAGAGCAAGAUGGGUGAUUAUGGUGGUACUUCAAGUGAUGUAAUGGGGCUUAGAUCCUACCUAUUGUCUGUUAAGAGAAAAAAUAAUGAGGUUAUCAGAAAAAAUGAUGAGGUUAUUUCCCGACUACAAAAAAGAAAUGAUAAGGUUACUUCCCAACUUUUGAAAUAAAAUGACGAAGUUGAAGAACUAAGAGCUCAAAAUGAAAAAAUUCCCACUCAACUUGAUCGUUUAUCUUCAUUCUUAGAUCAGUUACAACAAAAUUAAAGGACAAUUGGAUGAAGUAGAUAUGAUAAUGACUCAUAAAAAGUUUUAUAUAUUCAUAGGGAGUUUCUUAAGAUUCUAGCUGAUGCUCAUAUUAUGACCAAGAAAUCAUCUUUUGCAAAGGGCUUAGCACUACAGCGGAUAUUGCAACAUAGUGAAAACAAUUCUGCAGGCCUUUAACUUUUGACAAACUUUUAGCUUUAUAGAUUUUUCUCUUUAACAUCGAUGAAUGUAUGUGCGUAUGUGAAUAUUGAAAUUAGGCAUUUGUGUUGGUUGGAGUUUUCUGACCAACCUACAAAAACUUAAGGUCAAAGCUACAUCGAUGAAUGUAUGUGUGUAUGUGAAUAUCAAAUUCUAAUACUUUUGUGGAUAUAUGAUCGAUUUGGUAUGAUAUUUGUUGGUAA
Amaranthus tricolor (Joseph's coat) is the source of this 2593-nucleotide long non-coding RNA. RefSeq lists it as uncharacterized. Lineage: Eukaryota; Viridiplantae; Streptophyta; Magnoliopsida; Caryophyllales; Amaranthaceae. The transcript has 7 exons. The record is from RefSeq and is a predicted model, not a curated record.